GCCUGAUCAGCCAUGCCGCGUGUGUGAAGAAGGCCUUCGGGUUGUAAAGCACUUUCUGUGAGGAAGAAAGCCUUGAGGUUAAUACCCUCGAGGGAGGACAUCACUCACAGAAGAAGCACCGGCUAACUCCGUGCCAGCAGCCGCGGUAAUACGGAGGGUGCGAGCGUUAAUCGGAAUUACUGGGCGUAAAGCGCGCGUAGGCGGCUUGAUAAGCCGGUUGUGAAAGCCCCGGGCUCAACCUGGGAACGGCAUCCGGAACUGUCAGGCUAGAGUGCAGGAGAGGAAGGUAGAAUUCCCGGUGUAGCGGUGAAAUGCGUAGAGAUCGGGAGGAAUACCAGUGGCGAAGGCGGCCUUCUGGACUGACACUGACGCUGAGGUGCGAAAGCGUGGGUAGCAAACAGGAUUAGAUACCCUGGUAGUCCACGCCGUAAACGAUGUCGACUAGCCGUUGGGCUCCUUGAGAGCUUUGUGGCGCAGUUAACGCGAUAAGUCGACCGCCUGGGGAGUACGGCCGCAAGGUUAAAACUCAAAUGAAUUGACGGGGGCCCGCACAAGCGGUGGAGCAUGUGGUUUAAUUCGAUGCAACGCGAAGAACCUUACCUACCCUUGACAUCGAGAGAACUUUCCAGAGAUGGAUUGGUGCCUUCGGGAACUCUCAGACAGGUGCUGCAUGGCUGUCGUCAGCUCGUGUUGUGAAAUGUUGGGUUAAGUCCCGUAACGAGCGCAACCCUUGUCCCUAUUUGCCAGCGAUUCGGUCGGGAACUCUAGGGAGACUGCCGGUGACAAACCGGAGGAAGGUGGGGACGACGUCAAGUCAUCAUGGCCCCUUACGGGUAGGGCUACACACGUGCUACAAUGGCCCGGUACAAUGGGUU
This 875-nucleotide ribosomal RNA is filed under the name Halomonas ventosae. RNAcentral's name for it is "bacterial SSU rRNA". It matches the Rfam family "Bacterial small subunit ribosomal RNA", at positions 381 to 1248 of the family's 1533-position model. Lineage: Bacteria; Pseudomonadati; Pseudomonadota; Gammaproteobacteria; Oceanospirillales; Halomonadaceae. The record is from RNAcentral.